ACGUAGGGUGCGAGCGUUAAUCGGAAUUACUGGGCGUAAAGCGUGCGCAGGCGGUUUUGUAAGCCAGAUGUGAAAUCCCCGGGCUCAACCUGGGAAUGGCAUUUGGGACUGCAAGGCUGGAGUGUGGCAGAGGAGACUGGAAUUCCCGGUGUAGCAGUGAAAUGCGUAGAUAUCGGGAGGAAUACCGAUGGCGAAGGCAGGUCUCUGGGCUGACACUGACGCUCAUGCACGAAAGCGUGGGGAGCAAACAGGAUUAGAUACCCUGGUAGUCCACGCCCUAAACGAUGUCGACUGGUUGUUGGGGGUUUGACACUCUCAGUAACGAAGCUAACGCGUGAAGUCGACCGCCUGGGGAGUACGGCCGCAAGGUUA
Molecule: ribosomal RNA, 372 nt
Filed under: uncultured bacterium
Lineage: Bacteria
Description: bacterial SSU rRNA
Rfam family: Bacterial small subunit ribosomal RNA
Source: RNAcentral